Long non-coding RNA from Oncorhynchus tshawytscha (Chinook salmon), 692 nucleotides. The record is from Ensembl. NCBI's taxonomy places the organism in Eukaryota, Metazoa, Chordata, Actinopteri, Salmoniformes, Salmonidae.
GUUUUGAACGCGCUGUUGCACAGGCAAAGGCGGGAGCUUGAGGCUCCUUUUACUUUACCCAGAAUACAUUUUAUGGUUAUGGCAGACAGACAAGAAGUCAGAGAAAGAUGCAGUUACCCCGGCAUCAUUGACUUCCGAUCUGUUUUGCGCAUUGAGACAACAGAUUCCGUUUCGAUUAACAUCCCUAACUCUGGACUUCACUACGUCUCCACUGUUCUUAUGGAGUUCCUAGCCUUCAAUUCCUAAAUAUGAAAAAGCCCUAUAAAAAGAGACUAUCAGACGCACCCGAGGGCUCUUGGAUUUGGGGGUGGAAACUCUGUCGACCGCCUCCUUCCUGGUGGGCAGCCAGCUCCUGCAGCAGCGCGUCCUCGUCUCCUGUCAUCCCAGCAGGUCCAGACAACCAAUGACUCCAGAAGUCCGACUCUUCACUGAAGGACGGAUCCUUCGACGAGCACCUGAACAAUCAAUAUCUCCUCCACCAUGAAGGCUCGAGGAAGCUUGUGGCUUGAGUAAAACCCGGACUGGUCUGCGCCAUCUGAACUAUUCUCUCUCCACUCCCAACGAACUGGACUGCGAGAUUCUACCCACUCCCACACUCUGGCCGAUACAGUCGCAAACCCCGGGACAGUGCACAACGGACUAGAUUGAGUUGUACCCACUCCCGCUCUCCGGCUGAUUUGGUCGCAAAUACC